ACCUAGCUGGCUCAGCUGGUAGAGCAUGGGACUCUUGAUCUUGGGAUGAUGAGUUUGAGCCCCAUGGUGGGUG
Ailuropoda melanoleuca (giant panda) is the source of this 73-nucleotide non-coding RNA. The record is from Rfam. Lineage: Eukaryota; Metazoa; Chordata; Mammalia; Carnivora; Ursidae.